CGCGCUGCACUCCGAGCGCACAGGCGCUCCGGUGGCGGCCCGGGCUCCCGCGCUGCUCCGGGUCCGCUCGGGCUGCCCGCGUCGCGCUGCUGCUCGCAUUCGGCUGGGACUCCGCCGGCCCCUCGGCGCCGCGCUCCCCGACCCCGGCCUCUGCGCCCGCGGACCAUGCGCCGGGCACCCCUGGGGGAGCCCAGGCGGGCCGAGAGCCCGCAAAGACCAGGUUCCCGCGCCGGGGCCCCUCCCGGCCGCCCGGCCUGCGGUCCGCGCCCUGGUGCCGCGUGAGCCUGGGGGGCCAUGGAGCGCUCACCGCCCGACGGGCCGCUGAACGCGUCGGGGGCGCUGGCGGGCGAGGCGGCGGCAGGAGGGGCGCGCGGCUUCUCUGCCGCCUGGACCGCGGUGCUGGCAGCGCUCAUGGCGCUGCUUAUCGUGGCCACGGUGCUGGGCAACGCGCUGGUCAUGCUCGCCUUCGUGGCCGACUCGAGCCUCCGCACCCAGAACAACUUCUUUCUGCUCAAUCUGGCCAUCUCCGACUUCCUCGUCGGGGCCUUCUGCAUUCCCCUCUACGUGCCCUAUGUGCUGACAGGCCGCUGGCCCUUUGGCCGGGGCCUCUGCAAACUGUGGCUGGUGGCGGAUUACCUGCUCUGUACCUCCUCUGUCUUCAACAUUGUGCUUAUCAGCUAUGAUCGCUUCCUGUCUGUCACCCGUGCUGUCUCCUACCGGGCCCAGCAGGGCGACACUCGGCGGGCAGUGCAGAAGAUGGUGCUGGUAUGGGUGCUGGCCUUUCUGCUCUAUGGGCCGGCCAUCUUGAGCUGGGAGCACCUGUCGGGCGGCAGCUCCAUCCCCGAGGGCCACUGCUAUGCCGAGUUCUUCUACAACUGGUACUUCCUCAUCACGGCCUCCACAUUGGAGUUUUUCACGCCCUUCCUCAGUGUCACCUUCUUCAACCUCAGCAUCUACCUGAACAUCCAGAGGCGCACCCAGGUCCGGCUGGACGGGGCGCGAGAAGCAGCCGGCCCCGAGCCUCCCCCUGAGGCCCAGGCCUCCCCGCCGGCAGUGCCUGGCUGCUGGGGCUGCUGGCAGAAGGGGCGUGGGGAGGCCGUGCCGCUGCACAGGUAUGGGGUUGGGGUCGGCGAGGUGGUCCCUGGCACAGAAGCCGGGGAGGCAGCCCUUGGGGGUGGCAGCGGUGGGGGCGCCACAGCCUCACCCACCUCCAGCUCAGGCAGCUCCUCUCGGGGCGCUGAGCGGCCGCGCCCGCUCAAGAGGGGCUCCAAGCCGUCGGUGUCGUCAGCGUCACUGGAGCAGCGCAUGAGGAUGGUGUCCCAGAGCGUCACCCAGCGCUUCCGGCUGUCGCGGGACAAGAAGGUGGCCAAGUCGCUGGCCGUCAUCGUGAGCACCUUUGGGCUCUGCUGGGCGCCCUACACGCUCCUGAUGAUCGUCCGGGCCGCCUGCCACGGCCGCUGUGUCCCCGACUACUGGUACGAGACGUCCUUCUGGCUGCUGUGGGCUAACUCAGCCGUCAACCCUGUCCUCUACCCGCUGUGCCACUACAGCUUCCGCCGAGCCUUCACCAAGCUGCUCUGCCCCCAGAAGCUGAAGACACAGCCCCACAGCUCCCUGGAGCACUGCUGGAAGUGAGCUGGCACCAGGGGUGCCGGGGUAGGGCCUCCCCACUGCGCCCCACUCAAGGCCCUGGUUUCCUGGGCAUCUGGGCCACGCUAUCCCACACCUGGCUGCCCCCCAUGGGAAGACAAAGAAGAAAGCACGUCCGUGAACCCUGUGUUCCUUGGAUGUUUAAUCAAGAGACAAAAUUGCUGAGGAGCUCAGGGCUGGAUUGGCAGGUGUGGGCUCCCACGCCCUCCCUCUCGGUUGCCGCUUCCGGCUGAGCGGCGCCAGCUGCCUCUGCCCACCCCGCCCCCGGGCUCGGGGUGCUGGGCCCCAGCCGGCGGACGGGCAGCUCUGACUCCGGCCGGCCGGGCAGGACGCCUGCUUCCCAGAGGCUGCCCCUCCAGCUCUGCGGCCCCACUGGGGGUCCUGGGGUUGGUGGGGAGGAGGGGCCCCGGCCGAGCCGGCCGAGCCCUGAGGUCCCCAGGCUGGUGCGGGUGCCCCGUGGAGGGGCUGCUUUGCCGCUCCCUGUGCCCAGUUGGCGCUCUGCAUGCCCUGCUCCCCGAGCCCACUGUGCUGCCCCGCAGACCCUGAGCCCGCAGUAAAGCCUAUUUUUUUAUUGGUGCUGA
This is an RNA transcript of Manis javanica (Malayan pangolin), 2231 nucleotides long. It is a transcript of the gene named histamine receptor H3, with no coding region annotated. The record is from RefSeq and is a predicted model, not a curated record. NCBI's taxonomy places the organism in Eukaryota, Metazoa, Chordata, Mammalia, Pholidota, Manidae.